UAGGACGUAGCUAAGUAGUAAAGGCAUCUCCCUUACACUGAGAAGACACUCGUGCAAAUCGAGUCAUCCUAA
Molecule: transfer RNA, 72 nt
Filed under: Gymnothorax kolpos (blacktail moray)
Lineage: Eukaryota; Metazoa; Chordata; Actinopteri; Anguilliformes; Muraenidae
Description: tRNA-Val
Rfam family: tRNA
About the family: Transfer RNA (tRNA) molecules are approximately 80 nucleotides in length. Their secondary structure includes four short double-helical elements and three loops (D, anti-codon, and T loops).
Source: RNAcentral